Molecule: ribosomal RNA, 905 nt
Filed under: Arthonia pinastri
Lineage: Eukaryota; Fungi; Ascomycota; Arthoniomycetes; Arthoniales; Arthoniaceae
Description: SSU rRNA
Rfam family: Bacterial small subunit ribosomal RNA
Source: RNAcentral
UUGGGGGGACGGAAAAGCCCAAUGUUUUAAAGCCAUUGGGUACUUUUUUUUGCCUGAGGCAGGCUAUCUUUAAUAGAACUUUUAGUUCUUAUGGAUAGUAAUUCGGCCUCUUUUUUGAAAGCUUCGGCUUUUAGCGAUUUAUUCGCAUAAAGUUCUAUAUGGAAUUCGUAUGAUGACCAUUUUCUAUAUAAAAGUCUUGACUAAAACACGUGCCAGCAGUCGCGGUACCACGGGACAGACUAGUGUUAUUCAUCUCUAAUAGGUUUAAAGGGUACCUAGACGGCAAAUUUAGCCCCCACUGAAGCUGGGGAUGGUACAUUUUUGCUAGAGUUUUAUAUGAGAGGGAUUUAGUACUAACAGAGUAGAGAUGAAAUUCUUUGAUACUGUAGGGCACUGAUAACGGCGAAGGCAGACCUUUAUGUAAAAACUGACGUUGAGGGACGAAGGCUUGGGUAACAAACAGGAUUAGGUACCCUAAUAGUCCAAGCAGAGACUGAUGAGUGCCAUAGAUUAGAAUAUGUUUGAUCUAUAAAUGAAAGUGAAAGCACUCCACCUUAAGAGUAAUGCGGCAACGCAGGAACUGAAAUCAUUAGACCGUUUCUGAUACCAGUAGUGAAGUAUGUUGUUUAAUUCGAUGACCCACGAAAAAUCUUACCACAAUUUGAAUAUUAUAGCAACAAUAGGAAAGUCUUUUAACACGGUGGCAACACCGUUUAAUAUGAUGAAAGUGCUAAUAAUACAGGUGUUGCAUGGCUGUCUUCAGUUUAUGUCGUGAGAUGCGGGUUAGCUCCUACUAAAUAAACGUGAACCCUUACUUUAUUUUAGUUAGCAAUUGCUAAUUACAUAGAGUAGCUGUCUGAUACGUCAGACAAAUAACAGGGACCAAGACAAUUCCUUCCAGCCCA